CCUACGGGGGGCAGCAGUGAGGAAUAUUGGUCAAUGGACGAGAGUCUGAACCAGCCAAGUCGCGUGAAGGAUGACGGCUCUAUGGGUUGUAAACUUCUUUUAUAUGGGAGUAAAGUGAGACACGUGUUCCUUUUUGUAUGUACCAUAUGAAUAAGCAUCGGCUAACUCCGUGCCAGCAGCCGCGGUAAUACGGAGGAUGCGAGCGUUAUCCGGAUUUAUUGGGUUUAAAGGGUGCGUAGGUGGUUAGUUAAGUCAGCGGUGAAAGUUUGGGGCUCAACCAUAAAAUUGCCGUUGAAACUGGUUGUCUAGAGUAUAUUAGCGGUAGGCGGAAUGCGUGGUGUAGCGGUGAAAUGCUUAGAUAUCACGCAGAACUCCGAUUGCGAAGGCAGCUUACCAGACUACAACUGACACUGAGGCACGAAAGCGUGGGUAUCAAACAGGAUUAGAUACCCUUGUAGUC
Molecule: ribosomal RNA, 460 nt
Filed under: uncultured bacterium
Lineage: Bacteria
Description: partial 16S ribosomal RNA
Rfam family: Bacterial small subunit ribosomal RNA
Source: RNAcentral